UACGUAGGGGGCAAGCGUUGUCCGGAAUCAUUGGGCGUAAAGAGCGUGUAGGCGGCCAGAAAAGUCCGCUGUGAAAACUCGAGGCUCAACUUCGAGCUGUCGGUGGAAACUUUCUGGCUAGAGUCCGGAAGAGGAGAAUGGAAUUCCUGGUGUAGCGGUGAAAUGCGCAGAUAUCAGGAAGAACACCCGUGGCGAAGGCGGGUCUCUGGGCCGAUACUGACGCUGAGGAGCGAAAGCGUGGGGAGCGAACAGG
Molecule: ribosomal RNA, 253 nt
Filed under: uncultured bacterium
Lineage: Bacteria
Description: partial 16S ribosomal RNA
Rfam family: Bacterial small subunit ribosomal RNA
Source: RNAcentral